RNAcentral lists this ribosomal RNA (581 nucleotides) under Aspergillus flavus. RNAcentral describes it as "eukaryotic LSU rRNA". The stretch from base 212 to 365 matches the Rfam family "5.8S ribosomal RNA". Lineage: Eukaryota; Fungi; Ascomycota; Eurotiomycetes; Eurotiales; Aspergillaceae. The record is from RNAcentral.
CCGUAGGUGAACCUGCGGAAGGAUCAUUACCGAGUGUAGGGUUCCUAGCGAGCCCAACCUCCCACCCGUGUUUACUGUACCUUAGUUGCUUCGGCGGGCCCGCCAUUCAUGGCCGCCGGGGGCUCUCAGCCCCGGGCCCGCGCCCGCCGGAGACACCACGAACUCUGUCUGAUCUAGUGAAGUCUGAGUUGAUUGUAUCGCAAUCAGUUAAAACUUUCAACAAUGGAUCUCUUGGUUCCGGCAUCGAUGAAGAACGCAGCGAAAUGCGAUAACUAGUGUGAAUUGCAGAAUUCCGUGAAUCAUCGAGUCUUUGAACGCACAUUGCGCCCCCUGGUAUUCCGGGGGGCAUGCCUGUCCGAGCGUCAUUGCUGCCCAUCAAGCACGGCUUGUGUGUUGGGUCGUCGUCCCCUCUCCGGGGGGGACGGGCCCCAAAGGCAGCGGCGGCACCGCGUCCGAUCCUCGAGCGUAUGGGGCUUUGUCACCCGCUCUGUAGGCCCGGCCGGCGCUUGCCGAACGCAAAUCAAUCUUUUUCCAGGUUGACCUCGGAUCAGGUAGGGAUACCCGCUGAACUUAAGCAUAUC